UAGCCUGUAGUCAAGUGGCUAAGGUACAUGGUUGUGACCCCUGAGGUUAUUGGUUCAAGCCCCAGUCUAA
Albula goreensis is the source of this 70-nucleotide non-coding RNA. The record is from the annotation of a GenBank genome assembly. NCBI's taxonomy places the organism in Eukaryota, Metazoa, Chordata, Actinopteri, Albuliformes, Albulidae.